GACGAACGCUGGCGGCGUGCCUAAUACAUGCAAGUAGAACGCAGUUGCGAACGGGUGAGUAACGCGUAGGUAACCUGCCUCAUAGCGGGGGAUAACUAUUGGAAACGAUAGCUAAUACCGCAUACUGUGAGAUGGACCUGCGUUGUAUUAGCUAGUUGGUGAGGUAAAGGCUCACCAAGGCGACGAUACAUAGCCGACCUGAGAGGGGGAUCUGCCAAACUGGGACUGAGACACGGCCCAGACUCCUACGGGAGGAAGUAGUAGGGAAUAUUCGGAAAGGGACGGCAAUCUGACCGACCAACGCCGCGGUAAUUC
Molecule: ribosomal RNA, 315 nt
Filed under: uncultured bacterium
Lineage: Bacteria
Description: partial 16S ribosomal RNA
Rfam family: Bacterial small subunit ribosomal RNA
Source: RNAcentral